This 460-nucleotide ribosomal RNA is filed under the name uncultured bacterium. RNAcentral's name for it is "partial 16S ribosomal RNA". It matches the Rfam family "Bacterial small subunit ribosomal RNA", at positions 338 to 795 of the family's 1533-position model. The record is from RNAcentral.
CCUACGGGGUGCUGCAGUGAGGAAUAUUGGUCAAUGGACGAGAGUCUGAACCAGCCAAGUAGCGUGAAGGAUGACUGCCCUAUGGGUUGUAAACUUCUUUUAUAUGGGAAUAAAAUGUUCCACGUGUGGGAUUUUGUAUGUACCAUAUGAAUAAGGAUCGGCUAACUCCGUGCCAGCAGCCGCGGUAAUACGGAGGAUCCGAGCGUUAUCCGGAUUUAUUGGGUUUAAAGGGAGCGUAGGUGGAUUGUUAAGUCAGUUGUGAAAGUUUGCGGCUCAACCGUAAAAUUGCAGUUGAAACUGGCAGUCUUGAGUACAGUAGAGGUGGGCGGAAUUCGUGGUGUAGCGGUGAAAUGCUUAGAUAUCACGAAGAACUCCGAUUGCGAAAGCAGUUCACUGGACUGCAACUGACACUGAGGCUCGAAAGUGUGGGUAUCAAACAGGAUUAGAUACCCGGGUAGUC